This 1203-nucleotide long non-coding RNA is filed under the name Elaeis guineensis (African oil palm). Its description in RNAcentral is "long non-coding RNA (EGUI_LNC018736)". The record is from RNAcentral. Lineage: Eukaryota; Viridiplantae; Streptophyta; Magnoliopsida; Arecales; Arecaceae.
AAACGAGUCCUAAAACAUUUUGAGGAAUUUUGACACCCCGCCUUUAAUUCCUCCGCUAUUUAAUUCCUCAGUCGGUUUUAAGACAGUCGGUUCUAAGAAUAUCGGCGUCAGGUGCUUCCUUUUUUUUCUUCCCCCUUGAGGAGGGGGACAAAGAUUGCUCAUAUCUUUAUUGUCCUGGUGAUCCACUAAAGCACCAUCCGCUGAAAAAAGGUCGAAUAAUUAUUUUAUCAAAAAAAAAAAAGACGCCCAAAAGUGAGAACUUCAGAAAGCGGCUAAUACCAUCUGCCGGAUUCCUUAUUCCCGUUGCUUUUUUCCUUGAAUUCUAAUUAUCAUAACCGUGUUUCAGACGUAAUCAGUUCUCAUUUCCCAUCUCGCAUAUCUAGUUCCUGGUUGUGUGUGUCCAACCACAAAAAGCCCUAAACAAAUACAACGUUUGGUGCCAUUUUCACAAGAAAACUUUAACAGCAAUUUACCAACAAACGUUGAGCAAUAAACUGUAACCAUCCUUUUAGGAAUCGAUUUACAUUCACGAUGACAGAGAGGAGAGCGCAUAGCCAAUCAAAACCCACAGAUCAUAUAUUUAGUCAUCCCCUCUUAUUUUUCAUACCGAGGGCAUACAUGGCAGAAACUCACCUCAAACACGCACUCUCCUCCACACGGUAGGUAGCUAAGAAACACAAGUAUCACAAACGCCAUUGCCCCCAUCACAGCCACUGCCGGUCCCGUCACAAAAACCGGUGGCCCCGAUGAACACCGGCCUUCCCUGCCUCCGACGACGCUUCCGAGAGGCCUCGGGAUCAUCCACACUAGUAAAUAUGAUCCAAGAUAUGAUGGAGAGCCAUAUGACGAUCACGCAGUACAAGGCUUCACCUCCGAAGCCAUCACUCCACAUAGCUUCCAUGGCCAUAGCUUGAAGCUUGUUUCUCCUUCCUCCCUGCUAUAGAACAGAGGAAAAAAAGACGCCUUUAUAUAGUUAGCCUUGCUUGGAGUGCCCACUCUCAUACCAUCCAUGAGAUAAAGCGACCUCUAAGGCAAGUUCUAAUGCGUGAUCACCAAUAGAAGGCGGCUAGCAAGCGUUUGCUUAAGGGCUAAGAAAAGGGUGGCCCAGUUGGAGUGGACCUCAGGGCGUCCCUGCACCCGAGGUCAUCAUAUGAGGAAAAUGACAAGCUUCUUGAUAGUGAUAUGGUGGUACUGAAAUGUUGA